AUAAGUUACAAACUCUGAUAAAUACAACUAACAAUGAUUUUUGUUUACAUAUUACCCAUCAAAUAAAAGAGAAACAAACACAACCACAUCAGAAGAUACAAGAAACAAUCCCAACAUACACAAAGGCGGCAACAACAUCUCCACCUACUCACUCCUCUUGUCUUAUGAAAAUAGUUUACAUGUUCAAUGUCAACAUGCCAAUGCUAUUGUCUUCUAAUGAGAAAUACAUAUAUUCGUUUAAAACCCAUUAAGACUCAAAUACUAAUUGUCACUCAUUUUAUAGUUAUUUUUAUAAGUCUUCAUGUAUUUGUUUUAAAGGUCCAGUAAAAGCAACAAGUUUAAAAAUAAAAAAACAUAUAACCAACAUAAUAAGAAUAAAAAAAAUUAUUACUUAAUACACACAACUUAUACAACUAAAUUGGAGAAAAAAUAUCGAAAAACAAAAGGUACUUUCAACAACCUUAAUAUAAUUUAUGUAAUCUUAACAAUACAUGUAACAAAUUAAAAGGACAAACA
This 516-nucleotide long non-coding RNA is filed under the name Brassica napus (rape). RNAcentral's name for it is "long non-coding RNA (BNAP_LNC010806)". Lineage: Eukaryota; Viridiplantae; Streptophyta; Magnoliopsida; Brassicales; Brassicaceae. The record is from RNAcentral.